This 82-nucleotide transfer RNA is filed under the name Dinophyceae sp. TGD. RNAcentral describes it as "tRNA-Tyr". It matches the Rfam family "tRNA". From Rfam's summary of the family: Transfer RNA (tRNA) molecules are approximately 80 nucleotides in length. The record is from RNAcentral. Lineage: Eukaryota; Dinophyceae.
GGGACGAUGCCCGAGGGGUUAAAGGGAACGGAUUGUAAAUCCGUUGACUGUGUCUACGCUGGUUCGAAUCUAGCUCGUCCCA